This 293-nucleotide long non-coding RNA is filed under the name Capsicum annuum. Its description in RNAcentral is "long non-coding RNA (CANN_LNC022452)". The record is from RNAcentral. Lineage: Eukaryota; Viridiplantae; Streptophyta; Magnoliopsida; Solanales; Solanaceae.
AAUACUGAAGAUAUUACUGAUUCACAACCUCCGAAAAUUCUGAUAGAAGAAGAAGAAAUUGAAAAAGCUGAAGCAUUCAUCAAGAAAUGGAAAGGAAAAGACAACACAUGACUGAUGGAUAAGAUAUAACUGUAAUAAUUUUCUCUUUGUAAUAGUAAAAUCACUGUGCACAGGGACCCAUCUAUUACUGUGCAAGAUUCUCUUUUUUAUUAUUUAUAGGCGCCUCAUUCUUGAGAAGAGGCAGGAGUUCAGAAAUUCUCUCCUUUUAUUUUUCAAAAACUCUCUCUCUCCCU